This 229-nucleotide ribosomal RNA is filed under the name uncultured bacterium. RNAcentral describes it as "partial 16S ribosomal RNA". It matches the Rfam family "Bacterial small subunit ribosomal RNA", at positions 568 to 796 of the family's 1533-position model. The record is from RNAcentral.
CGCGCAGGCGGUCUUGUCCGUCAGGUGUGAAAGCUCGGGGCUCAACCCCGGAAAUGCACUUGAAACAGCAAGACUUGAAUACGGGAGAGGAAAGCGGAAUUCCUGGUGUAGAGGUGAAAUUCGUAGAUAUCAGGAGGAACACCGAUGGCGAAGGCAGCUUUCUGGACCGAUAUUGACGCUGAGGCGCGAAGGCGUGGGUAGCGAACAGGAUUAGAUACCCUGGUAGUCC